UACGGGGGGGGCAAGCGUUGUUCGGAAUUACUGGGCGUAAAGGGCUCGUAGGCGGCCAACUAAGUCAGACGUGAAAUCCCUCGGCUUAACCGGGGAACUGCGUCUGAUACUGGAUGGCUUGAGUUUGGGAGAGGGAUGCGGAAUUCCAGGUGUAGCGGUGAAAUGCGUAGAUAUCUGGAGGAACACCGGUGGCGAAGGCGGCAUCCUGGACCGGCAUUGACGCUGAACAGCGAAAGCCAGGGGAGCAAACGGG
Molecule: ribosomal RNA, 253 nt
Filed under: uncultured bacterium
Lineage: Bacteria
Description: partial 16S ribosomal RNA
Rfam family: Bacterial small subunit ribosomal RNA
Source: RNAcentral